RNAcentral lists this small nucleolar RNA (63 nucleotides) under Homalodisca vitripennis (glassy-winged sharpshooter). The record is from RNAcentral. Lineage: Eukaryota; Metazoa; Arthropoda; Insecta; Hemiptera; Cicadellidae.
AAAAAUAUGAUGACUUUGUUACCGCCCCAGACUGAAAGUUGAUGAAGGUAAUUCUGAUUUUGA